Molecule: ribosomal RNA, 381 nt
Filed under: uncultured bacterium
Lineage: Bacteria
Description: bacterial SSU rRNA
Rfam family: Bacterial small subunit ribosomal RNA
Source: RNAcentral
GACGAACGCUGGCGGCGUGCUUAACACAUGCAAGUCGAGCGGUAAGGCCCUUUCGGGGGUACACGAGCGGCGAACGGGUGAGUAACACGUGGGUGACCUGCCCUCAGCUCUGGGAUAAGCCUGGGAAACCGGGUCUAAUACUGGAUAUGACUCCAUGACGCAUGUUGUGGGGUGGAAAGCCUUGUGCGGCUGAGGAUGGGCCCGCGGCCUAUCAGCUUGUUGGUGGGGUGANGGCCCACCAAGGCGACGACGGGUAGCCGGCCUGAGAGGGCGACCGGCCACACUGGGACUGAGACACGGCCCAGACUCCUACGGGAGGGCAGCAGUGGGGAAUCUUGCGCAAUGGGCGAAAGCCUGACGCAGCGACGCCGCGUGAGGGAU